RNAcentral lists this ribosomal RNA (301 nucleotides) under uncultured bacterium. RNAcentral's name for it is "partial 16S ribosomal RNA". It matches the Rfam family "Bacterial small subunit ribosomal RNA", at positions 509 to 807 of the family's 1533-position model. The record is from RNAcentral.
CAGUAGCCACGGGAAUACAGAGGGUGCGAGCGUUAAUCGGAUUUACUGGGCGUAAAGCGUGCGUAGGCGGCUUUUUAAGUCGGAUGUGAAAUCCCUGAGCUUAACUUAGGAAUUGCAUUCGAUACUGGGAAGCUAGAGUAUGGGAGAGGAUGGUAGAAUUCCAGGUGUAGCGGUGAAAUGCGUAGAGAUCUGGAGGAAUACCGAUGGCGAAGGCAGCCAUCUGGCCUAAUACUGACGCUGAGGUACGAAAGCAUGGGGAGCAAACAGGAUUAGAAACCCGCGUAGUCCCUGUCUCUUAUAC